GGGGAAUUUUCCGCAAUGGGCGAAAGCCUGACGCAGUAACGCCGCGUGGAGGACGAAGGCCUUCGGGUUGUAAACUCCUGUCAGGGGGGAAGAAGAACUUGGGCGUAGAAUAUAUUUUCGAGUUCUGACGGUACCCCCAAAGGAAGCCCCGGCUAAUUCCGUGCCAGCAGCCGCGGUAAUACGGAAGGGGCUAGCGUUGUUCGGAAUCAUUGGGCGUAAAGGGCGCGUAGGUGGUCUUGUAUGUCCGUCGUGAAAGUGCACGGCUCAACCGUGUUUGGUCGGCGGAAACUGCAAGACUUGAGGCUGGGAGGGGCUGGAGGAAUUCCCUGUGUAGCGGUGAAAUGCGUAGAGAUAGGGGAGAACACUCGUGGCGAAGGCGUCCAGCUGGACCAGUCCUGACACUGAGGCGCGACAGCGUGGGUAGCAAACAGGAUUAGAUACCCCUGGUAGUCCACGCCCGUAAACGAUGGGCACUA
RNAcentral lists this ribosomal RNA (476 nucleotides) under uncultured marine bacterium. RNAcentral describes it as "bacterial SSU rRNA". It matches the Rfam family "Bacterial small subunit ribosomal RNA", at positions 356 to 818 of the family's 1533-position model. The record is from RNAcentral.